Pantherophis guttatus is the source of this 796-nucleotide long non-coding RNA. RefSeq lists it as uncharacterized. The record is from RefSeq and is a predicted model, not a curated record. NCBI's taxonomy places the organism in Eukaryota, Metazoa, Chordata, Lepidosauria, Squamata, Colubridae.
UCUAGAAUGGCUGGAGAAUUCUGGGAGUUGAAGUCCACAAGUCUUAAAGCUGCCAAGUUUGAAGACCUCUGAGGAGAGGUCCAUUUGCUUAAAACAAGGUAGUAAAGCUUUGGAUUUUUAAACAUUCCCCAUCCUGGCUGAGAGAGGUGGAAUUAGCUGUCGCAACCAUGCUGAGCUACCAAGGUCGGACAAGAUGUUUCAAAGCAAAGACUACAACAGCGAGGAGGCAAGGUGUUGUGGUCCGCCAGCAGCCUGAGGAGCUGGCAGCGGAGUCGGACAGUGAGGAGGCUGGGGAAGAACAUGGGCCAGUCCUGGAGUCUGGGGAAGGCCCGGAUGAGGGCUCUGCAUCGGAGGUAGAGAUGGGGCCAGGGAGUGAUGCACGGACUCCGGAGCCCCAGAGUCGGACAUCAGAGAGGCAGAGGAACAGGAGGAGCCUGUUCCUAGUGCACGCAUGCGCAGAGCUGCCAGAAGGCAAGAGCAGUUAAAGCAAAAGGGACGACUCAGGAGUAAGGCCAGGAGAUGAUUGGCCCCUCUCAUAAGGCUUAAAAGAGAAACAAAGGCACUUGGGCCUUUUGCAGGAAAGCAACGUUGCUAACUCUGUUUCCAGUCGGCAUCUCUUGUUUGUUUCUGAACUUCGUGGGGCUUUGCCAAGUAAGGCCUUUGGCAGGGUGAUAAAGGUUGAUGAUUAUCCCGAAGGACUUCUUCCGAAGGACUUAUUUUGCAACUAAUUGGGACUCAGCUGGGAAUGAACGUAAUUCUCAGCUGUUACAAUAAAAGAGGUUUGUUUGGGACUAAU